Molecule: ribosomal RNA, 468 nt
Filed under: uncultured bacterium
Lineage: Bacteria
Description: partial 16S ribosomal RNA
Rfam family: Bacterial small subunit ribosomal RNA
Source: RNAcentral
GAUGAACGCUGGCGGCGUGCUUAACACAUGCAAGUCGAACGGUGAAGGCGGAGCUUGCUCUGCUGGAUCAGUGGCGAACGGGUGAGUAACACGUGAGCAAUCUGCCCCUGACUCUGGGAUAAGCGCUGGAAACGGCGUCUAAUACUGGAUACGAGCUGCGAAGGCAUCUUCAGCAGCUGGAAAGAAUUUCGGUCAGGGAUGAGCUCGCGGCCUAUCAGCUUGUUGGUGAGGUAAUGGCUCACCAAGGCGUCGACGGGUAGCCGGCCUGAGAGGGUGACCGGCCAAACUGGGACUGAGACACGGCCCAGACUCCUACGGGAGGGAGCAGUGGGGAAUAUUGCACAAUGGGCGAAAGCCUGAUGCAGCAACGCCGCGUGAGGGAAGACGGCCUUCGGGUUGUAAACCUCUUUUAGCAGGGAAGAAGCGAAAGUGACGGUACCUGCAGAAAAAGCGCCGGCUAACUACGUG